Non-coding RNA from Zootoca vivipara (common lizard), 640 nucleotides. NCBI's taxonomy places the organism in Eukaryota, Metazoa, Chordata, Lepidosauria, Squamata, Lacertidae. The record is from RefSeq and is a predicted model, not a curated record.
UCACCUGUCCAUGGCCACAAUUUUGCAGCCUGAGAAUGGGAUUGCAGAAUUGGCGGGUGGGAUGGUUUGGCUAGGCCUGACAGCCUCUAUUUCCUUGUCAUCCCAAGGUGUACGGAGAAGGGAACCAGAAUUACCUAAAGCACCAACGGUAAUCGUUUUUCCCGUCUGGAGUAGUCCCCACCAUAACUUGCUUCCCAGAUCGGAAGGAGUUGACAAUGCAGUUCCAAUAGCUGUUCUCGAUGUUCAAGAUGGUGAUGGCUCUCUAGGGCGAUGAGCAUGUUGAGGAGGAGGAUGUACGUGACUAUGACGUAAGUCACCAGCAGGAUGAUGAAGACCGACCUGAAGCGUUGGGAACUAAAGGUAGUGAAACUAACGGCAACAUUAGGAAAUACAGCUUUGCAAAAGAAGCUUGAUUUGGUCUGCCAAGGUUUGAGAGAUAACAAAUGCAAGCUGAAUUCAGAACACAAAUGGCUCUCCUGACCCGGCUAGAAACCCUCCCAGCCCAUGGGGGUCUUCUGUCUGCCUCUCCUCCUGGCUCGGCCAGCCCCCAUCCAACUCAAGACCUAGGACCCUUCCAAAGACGGUGCCUACCAAAAUAAAACCCGGGCCUGCCACUGAUUUUCUGGAAGAACUCCCCAUG